Gorilla gorilla gorilla (western lowland gorilla) is the source of this 147-nucleotide non-coding RNA. It matches the Rfam family "Metazoan signal recognition particle RNA". From Rfam's summary of the family: The signal recognition particle (SRP) is a universally conserved ribonucleoprotein. It is involved in the co-translational targeting of proteins to membranes. The eukaryotic SRP consists of a 300-nucleotide 7S RNA and six proteins: SRPs 72, 68, 54, 19, 14, and 9. The record is from Rfam. NCBI's taxonomy places the organism in Eukaryota, Metazoa, Chordata, Mammalia, Primates, Hominidae.
GCUGGGCAUGGUGGUGCAUGCCUGUAAUCACAGCUACUUGGAGGCUGAGACACAAGAAUCGCUUGAACCUGGGAGGUGGAGGUUGCAGUGAGCUGAGAUUGUGCCACUGCACCCUAGCCUGGGCAACAGAGCGAGACUCUGUCUCAA